GACGAACGCUGGCGGCGGGCUUAACACAUGCAAGUCGAACGGAAAGGCCCGGCUUUUGGGGGGUGCUCGAGGGGCGAACGGGGGAGUAACACGUGAGUAACCUGUCCUUGACGGUGGGAUAACCUAAGGAAACUGGGGCUAAUACGGGAUAGGAGCUCCUGCCGCAUGGGGGGGGUGGGAAAGUUUCGGCGGUUGGGGAUGGACUCGCGGCUUAUCAGCUUGUUGGUGGGGUAGUGGCUUACCCAGGCUUUGACGCGUAGACGGCCUGAGAGGGUGACCUGCCCCGUUGGGUCUGGGCUGCGGCCCGGCCUCCUCCGGGAGGCAGCGGUGCGGAAUAUUGCCCUAUGGGCGGAAGCCUGAUGCAACGCCGCCGCGUGCGGUAAGUCGUCCUUCGGUUUGUAUACCGCAUUCGCCUGUGACGAAGCGUGAGUGACGGUAAUGGGUGAAGAAGCACCGGCUAACUUCGUG
RNAcentral lists this ribosomal RNA (468 nucleotides) under uncultured bacterium. Its description in RNAcentral is "partial 16S ribosomal RNA". It matches the Rfam family "Bacterial small subunit ribosomal RNA", at positions 28 to 507 of the family's 1533-position model. The record is from RNAcentral.